ACUCAACAUUAAUUCUUUAAAAAGGGUGAGUUUAAGUUGUAAAAGCAUGCUGCCUUUGUCGCAGACCCUUGAUCAGCUUGUUAGCCCUAAACUUGUUUUUAAGGAGUUU
Molecule: small RNA, 109 nt
Filed under: Hyunsoonleella rubra
Lineage: Bacteria; Pseudomonadati; Bacteroidota; Flavobacteriia; Flavobacteriales; Flavobacteriaceae
Also listed under: 1 other name
Description: 6S RNA
Rfam family: 6S-Flavo RNA
Source: RNAcentral